RNAcentral lists this transfer RNA (67 nucleotides) under Marmota monax (woodchuck). RNAcentral describes it as "tRNA.Ala". It matches the Rfam family "tRNA". Rfam says of the family: Transfer RNA (tRNA) molecules are approximately 80 nucleotides in length. Their secondary structure includes four short double-helical elements and three loops (D, anti-codon, and T loops). The record is from RNAcentral. Lineage: Eukaryota; Metazoa; Chordata; Mammalia; Rodentia; Sciuridae.
GGUUGUGGCUCAUUGGUAGAGUGCUUGCCUAGCAUGCGGGAGGCACUGGGUUCAAUUCCUGGCACCA